UAUCUGGCAAAGAGAUUUGCAGAGUGUCGGGUGACCGGCAAAGAGAUCUGCAAAGUGUCAGUUGAAGACGACGAGAGGGGUCGCAGACGUAGCAACGACUGGAGUAUAACAUGAAGGAGAUCAUCAUUUGGCAAAGUUCUGGCAAAGAGAUUUGCAGAGUGUCGGGUGACCGGCAAAGAGAUCUGCAAAGUGUCAGUUGAAGACGACGGGAGGGGUCGCAGAGGAAUUAGUGACUGGAGAAUAGCAUGCAGGAGUGGGUGAUCCCUGAGAAGCUGCCCUGGGAGGAGAGCUGCGGACACAUGCUCCAAAUGUUGGGACAUAUGCAUUACCUAUUAGGAGAUGCGGUAAAGAUGCAGGCUGUUGGGUUUACAGCAGUCAGAAUACUGACACUGGGAUCCCGACACUCUUCAGAAGCCCGCUGUUGGAACUCCAA
Long non-coding RNA from Pseudophryne corroboree (corroboree frog), 433 nucleotides. RefSeq lists it as uncharacterized. NCBI's taxonomy places the organism in Eukaryota, Metazoa, Chordata, Amphibia, Anura, Myobatrachidae. The transcript has 3 exons. The record is from RefSeq and is a predicted model, not a curated record.